Molecule: ribosomal RNA, 253 nt
Filed under: uncultured bacterium
Lineage: Bacteria
Description: partial 16S ribosomal RNA
Rfam family: Bacterial small subunit ribosomal RNA
Source: RNAcentral
UACGUAGGGUGCGAGCGUUAAUCGGAAUUACUGGGCGUAAAGUGUGCGCAGGUGGCCGCGCAAGUCGAGUGUGAAAUCCCCGGGCUUAACUUGGGAAUUGCGCUCGAAACUACGUGGCUCGAGUGUGGCAGAGGAAGGUGGAAUUCCACGUGUAGCGGUGAAAUGCGUAGAGAUGUGGAGGAACACCGAUGGCGAAGGCAGCCUUCUGGGCCAACACUGACGCUCAUGCACGAAAGCGUGGGGAGCGAACAGG